GAAAUAUGAAGUUUUAUUAAAAGAAAAAGGGGUGAAAAGAACAAAGUUUUGUCUAUCUUUGUUCAUCAUAGCUGAAAGUUAGAGAAGAGAAAGGAGAGGAGAAAGCUCUUGAGUAUUUGGUCAUUAGGAGGAGGAAAAUUGAAGGCGGUUCGUGUGUAGAUCUCGUCAGCAUAUCGUCGCAAACA
Gossypium arboreum is the source of this 185-nucleotide long non-coding RNA. RefSeq lists it as uncharacterized. The record is from RefSeq and is a predicted model, not a curated record. The transcript is spliced from 2 exons. NCBI's taxonomy places the organism in Eukaryota, Viridiplantae, Streptophyta, Magnoliopsida, Malvales, Malvaceae.